ACGGGAGGCAGCAGUGGGGAAUAUUGCACAAUGGGGGAAACCCUGAUGCAGCAACGCCGCGUGAGUGAUGAAGUAUUUCGGAUUGUAAACCUCUGUCAACAGGGACGAAAAUGACGGUACCUGUGAAGGAAGCUCCGGCUAACUACGUGCCAGCAGCCGCGGUAAUACGUAGGGAGCAAGCGUUAUCCGGAAUUACUGGGUGUAAAGGGAGUGUAGGCGGGACUGUAAGUCAGAUGUGAAAUAUGCCGGCUCAACUGGCAGACUGCAUUUGAAACUGCGGUUCUUGAGUGAAGUAGAGGUAAGCGGAAUUCCUAGUGUAGCGGUGAAAUGCGUAGAUAUUAGGAGGAACACCAGUGGCGAAGGCGGCUUACUGGACGAUAACUGACGUUGAGGCUCGAAAGCGUGGGGAGCAAACAGGAUUAGAUACCCUGGUA
Molecule: ribosomal RNA, 434 nt
Filed under: uncultured Clostridium sp.
Lineage: Bacteria; Bacillati; Bacillota; Clostridia; Eubacteriales; Clostridiaceae
Description: partial 16S ribosomal RNA
Rfam family: Bacterial small subunit ribosomal RNA
Source: RNAcentral